AUGAUUAAGGCUGUUGCACAGGCAAUACCUACUUAUAUUAUUGGUGUCUUCAAGCUUCCUAUGUCAGUCUGUGAUGAUCUGAACAGAAUUGUUCGUAAUUUUUGGUGAGGUUCACCGGAGGGCAAGAGAAACACACACUGGAUGGCAUAGCCGAAAAUUCAGGCACAGAAAAACAAGGGUGGACUGGGGUUCAGAGACUUCCGCCUCUUUAACCAGGCUCUCCUAGCACAGGCAUGUCGCUUACUAACUAAACCCAACAGCUUAUGCGCGCAGGUUCUCAAGGCCUGGUACUACCAUGACGAACGCCUUGAGGAUACGGUGUUCUCGAGGAAUGCCUCCCCGACCUGGCAGGCUAUUCAGCACGACCUGGAGCUCUUGAAGAAGGGCAUCAUAUGGCCUGUCGCGGAUGGCCAGGACAUCCGCAUAUGGCGCGACCGCUGGCUUCCUAGGGAGCGCUCGUGCCAGCCCAUCACGCAGCAGGGCACCUGUCACCUAAGGAGGGUGGCCGAGCUCCUGGAUGGUGGUGGGUCCUGGCGCACAGACCUCCUCCGCCGCCACUUCCUCCCAACGGACAUCGAUGUGAUCACCAGCAUCCGCACCUCGCCGCACGUCACCGACGACAUCAUUGCCUGGGUGCUAGAGAAGAAUGAUAUCUUCACCGUUCGGUCUGCCUAUCGCCUUGCCAUGGACGAGCACGAGCGUCCAUUGGCUACCGCCAUGAGCAGGGCACCGGAUGGUCGUCGCGCCAUCUAG
RNAcentral lists this ribosomal RNA (753 nucleotides) under Triticum aestivum (bread wheat). Its description in RNAcentral is "partial small subunit ribosomal RNA". Lineage: Eukaryota; Viridiplantae; Streptophyta; Magnoliopsida; Poales; Poaceae. The record is from RNAcentral.